UACAGGACGAACGCUGGCGGCGUGCUUAAUACAUGCAAGUCAACUUGACUUUAGAUAGCAAUAUCGAAAGUAGGGUGGCGCACGGGUGCGUAACGCGUAGGUAAUCUGCCCUGAGGUCUGACAUAACCCGUCGAAAGGCGGGCUAACAUCAGAUGAUAUAUAAUCACGACAUCGUGGAAAUAUCAAAUCUUCGGAGCCUUGGGAUGAGCCUGCGUCUGAUUAGGUAGUUGGCGGAGUAAUAGCCCACCAAGCCUACGAUCAGUAGCUGGUCUGAGAGGAUGAUCAGCCACACUGGAACUGAGACACGGUCCAGACUCCUACGGGAGGCAGCAGUAAGGAAUAUUGCUCAAUGGGGGAAACCCUGAAGCAGCAACGCCGCGUGAAGGAUGAAAUACUUUUGUAUGUAAACUUCUGUAAGAUGGGAAAAAUAUUCUCCUCGGGAGAAUUGAUUGUACCAUCAGAGUAAGCCCCGGCUAACUACGUG
Molecule: ribosomal RNA, 484 nt
Filed under: uncultured bacterium
Lineage: Bacteria
Description: bacterial SSU rRNA
Rfam family: Bacterial small subunit ribosomal RNA
Source: RNAcentral